RNAcentral lists this ribosomal RNA (431 nucleotides) under uncultured bacterium. Its description in RNAcentral is "partial 16S ribosomal RNA". It matches the Rfam family "Bacterial small subunit ribosomal RNA", at positions 338 to 795 of the family's 1533-position model. The record is from RNAcentral.
CCUACGGGUGGCAGCAGUAGGGAAUCUUCGGCAAUGGGGGCAACCCUGACCGAGCAACGCCGCGUGAGUGAAGAAGGUUUUCGGAUCGUAAAGCUCUGUUGUAAGAGAAGCGGUAACUUACCAGAAAGGGACGGCUAACUACGUGCCAGCAGCCGCGGUAAUACGUAGGUCCCGAGCGUUAUCCGGAUUUAUUGGGCGUAAAGCGAGCGCAGGCGGUUAGAUAAGUCUGAAGUUAAAGGCUGUGGCUUAACCAUAGUACGCUUUGGAAACUGUUUAACUUGAGUGCAGAAGGGGAGAGUGGAAUUCCAUGUGUAGCGGUGAAAUGCGUAGAUAUAUGGAGGAACACCGGUGGCGAAAGCGGCUCUCUGGUCUGUACUGACGCUGAGGCUCGAAAGCGUGGGGAGCAAACAGGAUUAGAUACCCUUGUAGUC